GGGCCGGUAGCUCAGUGGUAGAGCAGCGGGCUCUUAACCCGUUGGUCGGGGGUUCAAAUCCCUCUCGGCUCA
This 72-nucleotide transfer RNA is filed under the name bacterium. Its description in RNAcentral is "tRNA-Lys". It matches the Rfam family "tRNA". From Rfam's summary of the family: Transfer RNA (tRNA) molecules are approximately 80 nucleotides in length. The record is from RNAcentral.